UAAAAAAAAUUAGGGUUGGUACCCGAACAAUAUGUGAAAAUAACACCGCUUUUAUACGAUAGUAAUUGGCUGUUGAGUAUGCUGAUUAUUGUUGUUUAUGUUACUAUGUUUGAUGUUCAUAAGUUCAUUGUUAAAUUUUGUGAUUGAAGCUUAAAUUUUGAUUAUUUUGUGUUUGGUUAGGAAAAUAAAAGAAUGAGUUUGCAACAACAAUUGAAUAUUGACAUGCUUUUUUUGAGGUUCAAAAUGUUAUCCGUUCAUGUUUAAUUGAGAAAAUAUACUUAAUUCGUGAUGCAGUUAGUGAUUUUAGUUACAAAAACAUAUACUCUUUUGGAAAACUUACUCCCACAUUGCACGGAAACUUGUCGAGUCUUAAGUUUUGACGUUUCUAUUUUCAGAAAUAAAUUUUAAACUCCGAAACUUGAUUAGGUAAAAAAUAUGGUUCCGUUGUUUUCCGUUUCAGCAUUUGGUGUUUGAGUAUUUCCAUUUCGAUGCACCAUAGCGUAUUCUUUGUCAUACAGUAGAUAUUGCAGGUUUACACUGUAAGAUUUAUAUGUUUGCCUUCUUGCUUAUAGCUUAUGAGUGAAAAUCUUCCAAAAUUAAUUUCUUAGAACUUGUGAUAUAAUUGAGGUGAGGGCAGAUGUGCCAACUUGUUGAAGGACUUACAGAAGUAUUUAUGGAAUGAAGGGACCUUUCUGAAAGAAACACCAUAAAUAGGGUCGAUCUGAUCGUUUGCAGAAGGUUGAGGAGCUAUUGCAGGAAAAUGCCAAGAAAAUUGUGGAGAGUUUACAAAUUUGGUAGCUUCAGUUUUCUUGGAUUGAACGUCGAUGGCUACGAUGUUUCCGUGCAAGUUCCGGCAACUCGAGAGCUGGCUGAUUACAAGAAUGAUGAUGAUAAGUAGCUGAACUGAGAUUCUUGAACUUGGAGUUAUAAUUUUCUUCAUGGUUUCUUGAUGUUGAAAAAGAAAAAUAUUGAGGUGAUAUGAGAGUUUGUAUAAAAUUUAGAGGUUUGUUGAAUUGAAAUGGAAGUGUUUUAUUUUUUGUUUUUUCAAUAAAUAAGAGAGCAGGCUGUGUUGUGUGCUAUUAUUAUAGAUGAAACAAAGCUGUUGUGAA
Long non-coding RNA from Mercurialis annua (annual mercury), 1109 nucleotides. RefSeq lists it as uncharacterized. The transcript has 2 exons. The record is from RefSeq and is a predicted model, not a curated record. Lineage: Eukaryota; Viridiplantae; Streptophyta; Magnoliopsida; Malpighiales; Euphorbiaceae.